RNAcentral lists this ribosomal RNA (492 nucleotides) under uncultured bacterium. RNAcentral's name for it is "partial 16S ribosomal RNA". It matches the Rfam family "Bacterial small subunit ribosomal RNA", at positions 29 to 507 of the family's 1533-position model. The record is from RNAcentral.
AGUGAACGCUGGCGGUAGGCCUAACACAUGCGAGUCGAACGGCAGCACAGUAAGAGCUUGCUCUUACGGGUGGCGAGUGGCGGACGGGGGAGGAAUACAUCGGAAUCUACUUUUUCGUGGGGGAUAACGUAGGGAAACUUACGCUAAUACCGCAUACGACCUACGGGUGAAAGCAGGGGAUCUUCGGACCUUGCGCGAUUGAAUGAGCCGAUGUCGGAUUAGCUAGUUGGCGGGGUAAAGGCACACCAAGGCGACGAUCCGUAGCUGGUCUGAGAGGAUGAUCGGCCACACUGGAAUUGAGACAGGGUCCAGACUCAGACGGGAGGCAGCAGUGGGGAAUAUUGGACAAUGGGCGCAAGCCUGAUCCAGCCAUACCGCGUGGGUGAAGAAGGCCUUCGGGUUGUAAAGCCCUUUUGUUGGGAAAGAAAAGCAGCAGGUUAAUAUCCCGCUGUUCUGACGGUACCCAAAGAAUAAGCACCGGCUAACUUCGUG